CACAGAGGAAGGACCAUGUGAAGAUACAAGGAGAAGAUGGUGUUCUGCGUGGCAAGGAGAGAGGCCUCAGAAGGAACCAACCAUGCUGGCACCUUGAUCUUGGACUUCCAACCUCUAGAACUGCAAGAAAAUAAAUUCCUGUGGCUUAAGUCCCCCAGGCUGUGGUACUUUGCUUAUGGACCCAGCAGACUAAUAUACUUUGUUUCACCAAAAGGGCUAUGAGCAGCGUGCCUGGAGGCCUCUCUCUCCUCUGCCACAGGCCAAUUGUGAUUCCCACGGAGAACCACUAGCAAGUUCAAGGCUAGGUUGUCUGGGAUGUAAAUAUGAUAGCAAUUUAUAGGAGUGGAAUGGAACCAUCAGAAGAAGCUUUAUAAAGAAUGGAAGGUGGCUGACCCUUGAAGAAUGAGAAGGAUGGAAAUGAAGAAAGGCGAAUAGAGAGCUUCCCAGCUGUUGCUGACUUUGAAUCUUCAGGGAAUGAAGAACAUCAUCAUCUUCUGGUGGAAGAGGUAGAAGAGAGAGAGAGAAGAGAAGGUUUUUGUAACCUGGGCCCUGGCCAAAUAAUAGAAGUGAUGCUCCAAGGUGUCUGGUUCUGCAAAUUCUAACUCAUCGACUGGCUGUGAGCUUGAGGAAGUUAUGACAUUCUCUGUAGAAGGAAAUAACUAGAGCUGCUCCCCUCUGCCUCAUCUCUCAACUCAGACAAGAUAAGAUUAUGAGAACGGGGAGCUUCAGGAUCACUGGAGCAAAGCACUGCUCUUCCCUUGUGCUGUGUGGACCUUGCAGUCUUCAACUCCACUUACCCACCACAUGAAGAAUGUGCAGAAUGGAAGUUCAAGAAGUCCCUUUUCAAAGUUUGACUGCAGUCUUUCUUAAUCGUCAAGUGUGCGUUGGGGUUUAUCGAGAAGAUCAACAUGUUUGGAUCGGUGUAGGAGUGAGAAUCGGAUCUCUCCCACGUGGCUUUGAAGACUCCAGCAACAGUCAGCUUCCGUGAAAGAAUAUAAUCCUCGAGACAGAGAUUCCACGAGGGACAAGAUCACAUCCUUGUGCCUUGGGGCACAAAAGAAGCAAAAUCUGCAUUAAAGCCAAAGGAAGCAAGAGAGGAAGGAUUAAUUUGGGGGAGCUGAGGAAUUUACAGGAGGCAAUAAUGAAGAAUUUGAAAACCUACCUGUAUGA
Ailuropoda melanoleuca (giant panda) is the source of this 1170-nucleotide long non-coding RNA. RefSeq lists it as uncharacterized. The record is from RefSeq and is a predicted model, not a curated record. NCBI's taxonomy places the organism in Eukaryota, Metazoa, Chordata, Mammalia, Carnivora, Ursidae. The transcript is spliced from 5 exons.